CGCGCAGGCGGUUUUGCAAGUCAGAUGUGAAAGCCCACGGCUCAACCGUGGAAGUGCAUUUGAAACUGCAGGACUUGAGUAUCAGAGGGGAAAGUGGAAUUCCCGGUGUAGAGGUGAAAUUCGUAGAUAUCGGGAGGAAUACCGGUGGCGAAGGCGACUUUCUGGCUGAAUACUGACGCUGAGGCGCGAAAGCGUGGGGAGCAAACAGGAUUAGAUACCCUGGUAGUCC
RNAcentral lists this ribosomal RNA (229 nucleotides) under uncultured bacterium. Its description in RNAcentral is "partial 16S ribosomal RNA". It matches the Rfam family "Bacterial small subunit ribosomal RNA", at positions 568 to 796 of the family's 1533-position model. The record is from RNAcentral.